Molecule: long non-coding RNA, 1077 nt
Organism: Mesocricetus auratus (golden hamster)
Lineage: Eukaryota; Metazoa; Chordata; Mammalia; Rodentia; Cricetidae
Exons: 3
Source: RefSeq, a predicted model, not a curated record
CAGAACUAAGAUGAGGCCCGAGGUGUCCGAAUGCUCACUUUACGGUUUAACUGAACCACGGGGGACUAAAGGAAUAUUAGUUAGGCUGAGCUGAACAUACACUGUUCGGAUCAGUGGCUGUAAGUGAUAGCAAACCAGGAGGCCAGGGAGUGAGAACAAUCCAGCGUUUGUUGUGGAAAGAGUUCCUACACACAGAUUUCGGAGGUAUCCCCCAUGUCUCCCAGGUUCCCUCUAACAUAACAGGGAUUGUGACAGACGCUCCUAUAGACUGCAUCACACCACAGAGCAGGCUCAAAGAAAAGGACAUGUAUGUUCCUGGGUAGACCUGAGGAGAUCAAGUAACAUCUGAGAAGGGACAGGCCUGCCUGUCGAAGACAUGGAUAAGCAACUACCUGGGCUAUAACCUCACUGCCUUUCAGUCGGUGUGUGGCAAGCACACGCUAUGGGGUUCCCAUUCUGCCCCUUAAAAUGAGCUCACUUUUUGCUUUCGCAAAAGACAGCUGAGGGGAACUGCAGGCCUGGGCUGGAGGUCACUGGGUGGGUGUGAGAACACUGAGAAGCUCCUAGGUGCUCCCUGAUUUAGAAGUCCUUGGCCUGGCAGUAACAUGGAACCAGAGCCCUGUGGGGUACGUGCUCCAGACGGGCACAGGGGCACCCGCCCUCCUGCCUGCCAUCCAGGGCAUGGCCUCCUGACUGCCCCACAGUUUUGAACAACUCGGACCUGGCAUGAUCAGUGAACAUUGCUCCUCCCCCGUUUGCUGAGCCAUCCCUUGCCCAGUGACAUCUGAAUCCCAUCUAAGGCUCUUCUUUCUUGGCUCUUCUCCCUCCUCCAAACCUGCUUCCCCUAGUGCUGGGGAUGGAACCCAUAGCUUCCUGCACGCUGGACAAAUGCUCUACUGCUGAGGUACAACUCUGUAACUGCUAAAGGUUGAACACGGGACAGCAAGAUGGGUCAGGUGAAGGUGCUUGCUGCCAACCUUACAACCUGACUUUGACCCCCAGGACCAGAAACAAAUCCUACAAGCUGUCCUCUGACUCCAUUUAUUACUAAAUAAAUAAAUGUGGGAAAAUCCCUAA